Molecule: ribosomal RNA, 497 nt
Filed under: uncultured bacterium
Lineage: Bacteria
Description: partial 16S ribosomal RNA
Rfam family: Bacterial small subunit ribosomal RNA
Source: RNAcentral
GAUGAACGCUGGCGGCGUGCCUAAUACAUGCAAGUCGAGCGAACAGACGAGGAGCUUGCUCCUCUGACGUUAGCGGCGGACGGGUGAGUAACACGUGGAUAACCUACCUAUAAGACUGGUAUAACUUCGGGAAACCGGAGCUAAUACCGGAUAAUAUAUUGAACCGCAUGGUUCAAUAGUGAAAGACGGUGUUGCUGUCACUUAUAGAUGGAUCCGCGCCGCAUUAGCUAGUUGGUAAGGUAACGGCUUACCAAGGCAACGAUGCGUAGCCGACCUGAGAGGGUGAUCGGCCACACUGGAACUGAGACACGGUCCAGACUCCUACGGGAGGCAGCAGUAGGGAAUCUUCCGCAAUGGGCGAAAGCUUGACGGAGCAACGCCGCGUGAGUGAUGACGGUCUUCGGAUCGUAAAACUCUGUUAUUAGGGAAGAACAAAUGUGUAAGUAACUAUGCACGUCUUGACGGUACCUAAUCAGAAAGCCACGGCUAACUACGUG